This 211-nucleotide long non-coding RNA is filed under the name Parus major (Great Tit). RNAcentral describes it as "lncRNA (ENSPMJG00000013556.1)". Lineage: Eukaryota; Metazoa; Chordata; Aves; Passeriformes; Paridae. The record is from RNAcentral.
CUUGCCCAGAUGAAGUUAUUGUUGUGGACUGACCUAAGAUGUUUUAGUAUAUCCUGUCCUCAGAAGAUACACAGAAGAUAAUUCCUGUCCUACAGAAGUACCACAUAGAACCAGGAGGAGAUCAGGCAGCAUGGACAGGGCCAGCCUACUCCAGUGGCCUUGGUCCCAGACAUGCAUGUCUCUGAGCUGUGCUCAUCUGUGUUUGAAUUGA